Molecule: ribosomal RNA, 446 nt
Filed under: uncultured bacterium
Lineage: Bacteria
Description: partial 16S ribosomal RNA
Rfam family: Bacterial small subunit ribosomal RNA
Source: RNAcentral
CCUACGGGAGGCUGCAGUCGAGAAUCAUUCACAAUGGGGGAAACCCUGAUGGUGCGACGCCGCGUGGGGGAAUGAAGGUCUUCGGAUUGUAAACCCCUGUCAUGUGGGAGCAAAUUAAAAAGAUAGUACCACAAGAGGAAGAGACGGCUAACUCUGUGCCAGCAGCCGCGGUAAUACAGAGGUCUCAAGCGUUGUUCGGAAUCACUGGGCGUAAAGCGUGCGUAGGCUGUUUCGUAAGUCGUGUGUGAAAGGCGCGGGCUCAACCCGCGGACGGCACAUGAUACUGCGGGACUAGAGGAAUGGAGGGGGAACCGGAAUUCGCGGUGUAGGAGUGAAAUGCGUAGAUAUCGAGAGGAACACUCGUGGCGAAGGCGGGUUCCUGGACAUUAACUGACGCUGAGGCACGAAGGCCAGGGGAGCGAAAGGGAUUAGAUACCCUGGUAGUC